CUUUUGUGGCUGUUUCCCAGGUCUCGCUCUUCUCCAAGGUCACAGCAGAGAGAACACAAGGUUUCAGCCAGGGCCUGCGACGGUCAGUGGGAGGAAUCGCCACCAUUCUGGGGCCCCUGUGGGCUGGAGGCCUGACCGAAAACCUCUACGUCAUGCUGGGGGUGAUGAUGGGCCUGCUGAGCCUGCUGAUGGUCAUGGUUGGGCUUUCGUACUCUUACCUGGUGGAGCUACCCAGGAGCUCCGUGCCAGGACCGUCCCCGGAGGAGCGGCGCUCAUGACCUCCCACCCGUCCACUGUGCACCCAGAGGGAUAGCAUGGGUUAAAGCCACCAAGGUGAGAGUGUUGGGUGCCUCCUCUGCCCCGGUGGCUAAACAGUCCUGGGUCAAGUGCACCGACACGCCUGGAAGAGCCUGGGUGAGGCCAGCAGCUCCUGCC
This 435-nucleotide long non-coding RNA is filed under the name Chelonoidis abingdonii (Abingdon island giant tortoise). RNAcentral's name for it is "lncRNA (ENSCABG00000012987.1)". The record is from RNAcentral. Lineage: Eukaryota; Metazoa; Chordata; Testudines; Testudinidae.